RNAcentral lists this long non-coding RNA (634 nucleotides) under Zea mays. RNAcentral's name for it is "long non-coding RNA (ZMAY_LNC001089)". Lineage: Eukaryota; Viridiplantae; Streptophyta; Magnoliopsida; Poales; Poaceae. The record is from RNAcentral.
CAGGUAAUAAUAACUCCUCCAUCACAUGCAUCUUCUUUGCAGGCUGCAGCUAGCCAGUGAGCCAGCCAGCAAUCGAGCUAGGAACUGGUCGAUGAUGUACCAUGUGUGUGCGCGCAUGCAGGUGUGGCCGGCCUACGGCAACAAGAAGUUCGAGACGCUGUCGUACCUGCCGCCGCUGUCGACGGACGACCUGCUGAAGCAGGUGGACUACCUGCUGCGCAACGGCUGGAUACCCUGCCUCGAGUUCAGCAAGCUCGGGUUCGUGUACCGCGAGAACUCCACCUCCCCGUGCUACUACGACGGCCGCUACUGGACCAUGUGGAAGCUGCCCAUGUUCGGCUGCACCGACGCCACGCAGGUGUACAAGGAGCUGCAGGAGGCCAUCGCCGCGUACCCGGACGCCUUCCACCGCGUCAUCGGCUUCGACAACGUCAGGCAGACGCAGUGCGUCAGCUUCAUCGCCUACAAGCCCCCCGGCAGCGAGUAGAGACCGUGGCUAGAUCGACCCAUGGCCAUGCCUCUGCCUGUUGAUCGGAUCACCUUCUUGCAUUGGUUCCUCUCUCUCUCUCCCUCCUUUUUUUUCCCUUUAUCUCAUCAUUUCUUUUCUCCUGCAUGCAAUGGUUCCUUUUGCUUC